ACACGUGUUCAUUUCAUUCUCUUCCCUUCCUUGCCGUGCAGAGGAGCAAACAGCAUGAACGGUAGCAGCAUGAGUUUAGGUUGGUCAUCUGAACCCCCUGGCUAGAGUAAAGUCUAAUCACUUACUAUAAUGUCUUAAUUACGAUGACUCCCACGUGGUUUAUGCCUUGAGGCCAGAGUCAAACUGUAGUCUAGUCAUCCUCUGACCAUCACCUUGUAACGACUGGCAGAGAAACUGAGGACUGCAGUCAUUUGUUUAGAUUCUAUUGAUGGGUUUACCGUUGGGACAUGUGCAUUCAGUGAUUGGGCUGCCUUGGUGGAUGACUGCCAAUUUAAUCCUUUCAAGUAGUAAAAAGGUAAAGAAAAACUGAGGACUGCAGUCAUUUGUUAAGAUUCUACUGAUGGCCUUACUUCUAGGUGCAUUCAGAUGUUAUUGCUUUUUUCCAUGUUUGGUUACCUUUUAAAAUAAGAGGUGAAUAUUCUAUUAUAAACCAUAUAUAUGUUGUGUAUGUGUAUUGUCUGUUACCAAUAAAAAAAGAGA
This is a long non-coding RNA of Triplophysa rosa, 540 nucleotides long. RefSeq lists it as uncharacterized. The transcript is spliced from 7 exons. The record is from RefSeq and is a predicted model, not a curated record. NCBI's taxonomy places the organism in Eukaryota, Metazoa, Chordata, Actinopteri, Cypriniformes, Nemacheilidae.